AGUGCUAAAAGAAUGGAUUUUCAAAAAAACUCUUUUUUAAAUUUAAAAAUUGAAGUUAUUUUUAUUUGUGAAGAAACAAUAAUAAAAAUUAAGGACAAGAAGACCCUAAGAAUUUUUAUAAAUAUAUUAAUAAAUAGAUAUUAAUAUAUUUAUUUAAUUGGGGCGAUUAAUGAAUAUUUUUAACUUCAAGUUAAUAUUAACAUGAUCCAUUAAUAAUGAUUAUAUGCAAUAAAUACUCUAGGGAUAACAGCG
RNAcentral lists this ribosomal RNA (252 nucleotides) under Haemaphysalis camicasi. RNAcentral's name for it is "partial large subunit ribosomal RNA". The record is from RNAcentral. Lineage: Eukaryota; Metazoa; Arthropoda; Arachnida; Ixodida; Ixodidae.